RNAcentral lists this ribosomal RNA (425 nucleotides) under uncultured eukaryote. RNAcentral's name for it is "bacterial SSU rRNA". It matches the Rfam family "Eukaryotic small subunit ribosomal RNA", at positions 592 to 1017 of the family's 1831-position model. The record is from RNAcentral.
CAAUAGCGUAUAUUAAAGUUGUUGCGGUUAAAAAGCUCGUAGUUGGAUUUCUGCCGAGGACGACCGGUCCGCCCUCUGGGUGAGCAUCUGGCUCGGCCUGGGCAUCUUCUUGGAGAACGUAUCUGCACUUGACUGUGUGGUGCGGUAUUCAGGACUUUUACUUUUUGAGGAAAUUAGAGUGUUUCAAGCAGGCAUACGCCUUGAAUACAUUAGCAUGGAAUAAUAAGAUAGGACCUCGGUUCUAUUUUUGUUGGUUUCUAGUACUGAAGUAAUGAUUGAUAGGGAUAGUUGGGGGUGCUAGUAUUGACCGGCCAGAGGUGAAAUUCUUGGAUUCGGUCAAGACUAACUUAUGCGAAAGCAUUCACCAAGGAUGUCUUCUUUAAUCAAGAACGAAAGUUGGGGGGAUCGAAGAUGAUCAGAUACCG